RNAcentral lists this ribosomal RNA (742 nucleotides) under uncultured bacterium. RNAcentral's name for it is "bacterial SSU rRNA". It matches the Rfam family "Bacterial small subunit ribosomal RNA", at positions 8 to 796 of the family's 1533-position model. The record is from RNAcentral.
AGAGUUUGAUCCUGGCUCAGAGCGAACGCUGGCGGCAUGCUUAACACAUGCAAGUCGCGCGGUCAGCAAUGGCAGCGGCGGACGGGUGAGUAACACGUAGGAAUCUAUCCCAGGGUGGGGGACAACAGCGGGAAACUGCUGCUAAUACCGCAUGAUACCUGAGGGUCAAAGGCGCAAGUCGCCUUGGGAGGAGCCUGCGUCUGAUUAGCUUGUUGGUGGGGUAAAGGCCUACCAAGGCGACGAUCAGUAGCUGGUCUGAGAGGAUGAUCAGCCACAUUGGGACUGAGACACGGCCCAAACUCCUACGGGAGGCAGCAGUGGGGAAUAUUGGACAAUGGGCGCAAGCCUGAUCCAGCAAUGCCGCGUGUGUGAAGAAGGUCUUCGGAUUGUAAAGCACUUUUGGCAGGGACGAUGAUGACGGUACCUGCAGAAUAAGCCCCGGCUAACUUCGUGCCAGCAGCCGCGGUAAUACGAAGGGGGCUAGCGUUGCUCGGAGUGACUGGGCGUAAAGGGCGCGUAGGCGGCAUGUACAGUCAGAAGUGAAAUUCCUGGGCUCAACCUGGGGACUGCUUUUGAUACGUGCAAGCUAGAGUGAGGAAGAGGGUUGUGGAAUUUCCAGUGUAGAGGUGAAAUUCGUAGAUAUUGGAAAGAACACCGGUGGCGAAGGCGGCAACCUGGUCCUUAACUGACGCUGAGGCGCGAAAGCGUGGGGAGCAAACAGAAUUAGAUACCCUGGUAGUCC